This 253-nucleotide ribosomal RNA is filed under the name uncultured bacterium. RNAcentral describes it as "partial 16S ribosomal RNA". It matches the Rfam family "Bacterial small subunit ribosomal RNA", at positions 524 to 776 of the family's 1533-position model. The record is from RNAcentral.
UACGUAGGGGGCAAGCGUUGUCCGGAUUUAUUGGGCGUAAAGAGCGUGUAGGCGGUUAGGUAGGUCCGUUGUGAAAACUCGAGGCUCAACCUCGAGACGCCGAUGGAAACCAUCUGACUAGAGUCCGGAAGAGGAGAGUGGAAUUCCUGGUGUAGCGGUGAAAUGCGCAGAUAUCAGGAAGAACACCCGUGGCUAAGGCGGCUCUCUAGUACGGUACUGACGCUGAGACGCGAAAGCGUGGGGAGCGAAUAGG